GGCAGACGGGUGAGUUACACGUGGGGAUCUACCCCAAUUCCAAUGGUACGGAUUAACCCAGGGAAACUUCGAUUAAUACCGUAUGUGCCCCCUCGGGGGAAAGAUUUAUCGCCAUUGGAUGAACCCGCGUCGGAUUAGCUAGUUGGUGAGGUAAAGGCUCACCAAGGCGACGAUCCGUAGCUGGUCUGAGACGGAUCAUCAGCCACACUGGGACUGAGACACGGCCCAGACUCCAACGGGAGGCAGCAGUGGGGAAUAUUGGACAAUGGGCGCAAGCCUGAACCAGCCAUGCCGCGUGAGUGAUGAAGGCCUUAGGGUCUGUAAAGCUCUUUAGCCGGUGAAGAUAAUGACGGUAACCGGAGAAGAAGCCCCGGCUAAAUUCGUGCCAGCAGCCGCGGUAAUACGAAGGGGGCUAGCGUUGCUCGGAAUCACUGGGCGUAAAGCGCACGUAGCGCGGGUCGUUAAGUCAGGGGUGAAAUCCUGGAGCACAACUCCAGAACUGCCCUUGAUACUGGCGACCUAGAGUUCGUGAGAGGUUGGUGGACACUCCGAGUGUACAGGGGGUUUUCGUAGAUAUUCGGAAGAACACCAGUGGCGACGGCGGCCAA
RNAcentral lists this ribosomal RNA (608 nucleotides) under uncultured bacterium. RNAcentral's name for it is "bacterial SSU rRNA". It matches the Rfam family "Bacterial small subunit ribosomal RNA", at positions 97 to 728 of the family's 1533-position model. The record is from RNAcentral.